ACUACGGGUGGCAGCAGUGAGGAAUAUUGGUCAAUGGGCGCAAGCCUGAACCAGCCACGCCGCGUGAAGGAAGACGGCCCUAUGGGUUGUAAACUGCUUUUUUAAGGGGGUAAAUUGAGGCACGUGUGCCUGUUUGUAAGUACUUUAUGAAUAAGGAUCGGCUAACUCCGUGCCAGCAGCCGCGGUAAUACGGAGGAUCCAAGCGUUAUCCGGAUUUAUUGGGUUUAAAGGGGGCGUAGGUGGGCAGUUAAGUCAGAGGUGAAAGCUUGCGGCUCAACCUCAAAAUUGCUUUUGAUACUGGUAGUCUUGAGUGAAGUUGAGGUAGGCGGAAUUCGUGGUGUAGCGGUGAAAUGCUUAGAGAUCACGAAGAACACCGAUUGCGAAGGCAGCUUACUAAACUGCCACUGACGUUGAGGCGCGAAAGCGUGGGUAGCAAACAGGAUUAGAUACCCCUGUAGUC
RNAcentral lists this ribosomal RNA (460 nucleotides) under uncultured bacterium. RNAcentral describes it as "partial 16S ribosomal RNA". It matches the Rfam family "Bacterial small subunit ribosomal RNA", at positions 338 to 795 of the family's 1533-position model. The record is from RNAcentral.